UAACCUGUGCUAGGGAAGCUCAUUCGAGAACACCCAAUUGGGCUGUCUCCUGAGGAACCAGAGGAUGGAGACUCUCCUGCAAGUACUCAUAGGGAUAUUAGAGUUGCAGGCCGCCUGGGUCAGUAGUCAAGAACUAGAGCAGAGUCCACAGUCCCUGACUGUCCAAGAGGGAGAAGAUUUCACCAUAAACUGCAGCUCAUCAGAGCCUGUGUAUGCCCUACACUGGUACAGACAAAAGAAGAGCAAAGGUCUAAUCUCCUUGAUGAUAUUGUGGAAAAAUGGGGAAGAAAAGAAUCAUGAAGAAACCACUGCCACAUUGGAUAAGAAAAAACAGCAGAGUUCUCUGCAUAUCAGAGCCUCCCAGCCCAGCCACUCAGGCACCUACCUGUGUGCAGCAGAUGCACUGUGAUCU
Non-coding RNA from Lontra canadensis (Northern American river otter), 412 nucleotides. NCBI's taxonomy places the organism in Eukaryota, Metazoa, Chordata, Mammalia, Carnivora, Mustelidae. The record is from the annotation of a RefSeq genome assembly.